This 533-nucleotide ribosomal RNA is filed under the name Salmonella enterica subsp. enterica serovar Infantis. RNAcentral describes it as "partial 23S ribosomal RNA". It matches the Rfam family "Bacterial large subunit ribosomal RNA", at positions 659 to 1190 of the family's 2925-position model. RNAcentral also lists the same sequence under 7 other names. Lineage: Bacteria; Pseudomonadati; Pseudomonadota; Gammaproteobacteria; Enterobacterales; Enterobacteriaceae. The record is from RNAcentral.
AGGGGAGCCGGAGGGAAACCGAGUCUUAAUUGGGCGUUAAGUUGCAGGGUAUAGACCCGAAACCCGGUGAUCUAGCCAUGGGCAGGUUGAAGGUUGGGUAACACUAACUGGAGGACCGAACCGACUAAUGUUGAAAAAUUAGCGGAUGACCUGUGGCUGGGGGUGAAAGGCCAAUCAAACCGGGAGAUAGCUGGUUCUCCCCGAAAGCUAUUUAGGUAGCGCCUCGUGAAUUCAUCUCCGGGGGUAGAGCACUGUUUCGGCUAGGGGGCCAUCCCGGCUUACCAACCCGAUGCAAACUGCGAAUACCGGAGAAUGUUAUCACGGGAGACACACGGCGGGUGCUAACGUCCGUCGUGAAGAGGGAAACAACCCAGACCGCCAGCUAAGGUCCCAAAGUCAUGGUUAAGUGGGAAACGAUGUGGGAAGGCCCAGACAGCCAGGAUGUUGGCUUAGAAGCAGCCAUCAUUUAAAGAAAGCGUAAUAGCUCACUGGUCGAGUCGGCCUGCGCGGAAGAUGUAACGGGGCUAAACCAU